GCUGCUCCUAGUACGAGAGGACCGGAGUGGACGCAUCACUGGUGUUCGGGUUGUCAUGCCAAUGGCACUGCCCGGUAGCUAAAUGCGGAAGAGAUAAGUGCUGAAAGCAUCUAAGCACGAAACUUGCCCCGAGAUGAGUUCUCCCUGACUCCUUGAGAGUCCUGAAGGAACGUUGAAGACGACGACGUUGAUAGGCCGGGUGUGUAAGCGCAGCGAUGCGUUGAGCUAACCGGUACUAAUGAACCGUGAGG
This 251-nucleotide ribosomal RNA is filed under the name Escherichia coli. RNAcentral's name for it is "partial 23S ribosomal RNA". It matches the Rfam family "Bacterial large subunit ribosomal RNA", at positions 2671 to 2912 of the family's 2925-position model. The record is from RNAcentral. Lineage: Bacteria; Pseudomonadati; Pseudomonadota; Gammaproteobacteria; Enterobacterales; Enterobacteriaceae.